RNAcentral lists this long non-coding RNA (865 nucleotides) under Gossypium barbadense (sea-island cotton). RNAcentral describes it as "long non-coding RNA (GBAR_LNC019815)". Lineage: Eukaryota; Viridiplantae; Streptophyta; Magnoliopsida; Malvales; Malvaceae. The record is from RNAcentral.
UUUUAUUUUAAAACCAUUUAACCUUUAUAUAUUUUUUUUCUGAAAAACUGCUCUCAAACUCCCCCUUUUUAUCUCUUCCUCUUUUCUUCAAUUAAGGUUUCAACACCCAUCAUCGCCGGCGGUUCACCGUGCCGAACGGAGAGGGGAGCGGCCACGGGGUAGAUCCGGUAAGACUCUUUUCUUCCUUGAUUCUUUUUCGUUUUAAAGUAAGUUAAUGAAAAAAAAAUAAAACAAAACAAAGAUAAACAGAAAGAUUGAGAUAACAGAGGAAAAAAAUUGAAGUUUCACCUUCUAAGCUUUUCUUUUUUCUUUUAUUUUUGAUACAAACUUUUUGUACAUCCUCCCCCCUUUUUCGUUUGUUGUUUGGGUGGCUUUUAUAUGGCCUAAUUUUUACAUACUUUAUUAUUAUUUUCUAUUCUUGCUUCUGUUUUGCUUGUUUUCAGGGCAUGGGCAUGGACGGUGGGGUGUGUGAUGGUGCUGGUGGCAGACAGCAUGGGAGAGUGGGAGUGGUGCUGGUGGCAGACAGCAUGGGAGAGUGGGAAGAGGCAAGUGGGAGUUUAGGGUUUUGGGAUUGGGCUUGGAUGUUGGGCUAGGUUAAUUUUAGGUUUUGGGUUUGAGGAUGGGUUAAACGGUUUAAUGGGCCUGGGUAUUUUGUAAACGGGCCAAAAUUGGCCUACAACAACUUUUGUUAGUGAAUUAUCCAAAAUUUAGUUCCGAAAAACUCUCAAAAACUGAACAAAUGUGGAUAGAAUAUAGACUGGUUUGUUGUUAGCAAUGUAUCAUUCCAUCUUAUUAAAACAUAUUAAAUGUAAAUACAUAUAUUUUCAAUGAGAUAAUAUAAUUUGAUUUACUAAAUACUUACAAA